This 72-nucleotide transfer RNA is filed under the name Ictidomys tridecemlineatus (thirteen-lined ground squirrel). RNAcentral's name for it is "Spermophilus tridecemlineatus (thirteen-lined ground squirrel) tRNA". It matches the Rfam family "tRNA". From Rfam's summary of the family: Transfer RNA (tRNA) molecules are approximately 80 nucleotides in length. Their secondary structure includes four short double-helical elements and three loops (D, anti-codon, and T loops). RNAcentral also lists the same sequence under 1 other name. The record is from Rfam by way of RNAcentral. Lineage: Eukaryota; Metazoa; Chordata; Mammalia; Rodentia; Sciuridae.
GGGGAUAUGGCUCAGUUGGUAGAGUGCCUGCCUUGCAUGCACAAACCAUGGGUUCAAUCCUCAUCACCACCC